Molecule: ribosomal RNA, 432 nt
Filed under: uncultured bacterium
Lineage: Bacteria
Description: bacterial SSU rRNA
Rfam family: Bacterial small subunit ribosomal RNA
Source: RNAcentral
ACGAAUAAGGACCGGCUAAUUCCGUGCCAGCAGCCGCGGUAAUACGGAAGGUCCAGGCGUUAUCCGGAUUUAUUGGGUUUAAAGGGAGCGUAGGCUGGAGAUUAAGUGUGUUGUGAAAUGUAGACGCUCAACGUCUGAAUUGCAGCGCAUACUGGUUUCCUUGAGUACGCACAACGUUGGCGGAAUUCGUCGUGUAGCGGUGAAAUGCUUAGAUAUGACGAAGAACUCCGAUUGCGAAGGCAGCUGACGGGAGCGCAACUGACGCUUAAGCUCGAAGGUGCGGGUAUCAAACAGGAUUAGAUACCCUGGUAGUCCGCACAGUAAACGAUGGAUGCCCGCUGUUGGUACCUGGUAUCAGCGGCUAAGCGAAAGCAUUAAGCAUCCCACCUGGGGAGUACGCCGGCAACGGUGAAACUCAAAGGAAUUGACGGC